This 2187-nucleotide long non-coding RNA is filed under the name Citrus x clementina. RNAcentral's name for it is "Citrus clementina (C. clementina) long non-coding RNA (CCLE_LNC006579)". The record is from RNAcentral. Lineage: Eukaryota; Viridiplantae; Streptophyta; Magnoliopsida; Sapindales; Rutaceae.
CAAGGAGAUGCAGCAAUGAGGGGAGCCGAAGAGAGAACAAGAAAGGGAAGCUGAGGACUUCUUUCUUUUUCUAUUUUCUUGUUUUGUUGUGUGAUUAAUUUUCUUAUAAUAUAUUUCAGAAGUUUGUUAAAUAAAAUGAGUAUUUUAUUUUCCAAUAUGAGUGGCUUAAUUUUCUAAGUUAAGGUGAAAGGCGAAGCUCAAAAAUUCAAAUUAUAUAGUUAAUUACUCUCUCAAGUGAGUCUUAAAGCUUAUUUUAUUUGUUGUAUUUGUCUUCUUUACCAAUAUCUUUUAUGUCAUGUUAAUUUAUAGAUUUAAAUCAGUUCAGAUUUAUAUGGUAUUGUGACAUAAUGUCAAAAUUUCAAUAUAGUUGUAGCAUAUUAGGUUCUUGGUCUCAUAUUUAUCACACUUAAGUUAGUUAAGAAUUAAAGGGCAUAAUAAUUAAUUUGUGAAAUAAAUGCAAAAUACAAAUAUGAAAGAGUUGUUAUAAUCAUAAUUUGAAAUUUAAGAGUAGAUCUCAUAAUCUUAGCAUAUUUUUAGAUUGAUUCCUAUUAAUUUCUUUUCUCGCAUUAAAUUUUCUUAGUUUAAUAAUUUGACUACUAAAUUUUAAAUUCCUUGUAGUUUGACCCAAGACUUAUCGGGUUAUAUUAUAACUAGACACUCUUAUAUUUAGAAGUAAUAACACUUUUAAGUCGUGUCAAAUUUUUGGCUCCAUUACCGAGAAGUUUCUUAAGUUUGGUGUCAAUUUUAUUUUAUUUUAUUUUUCUCUUCUUCUCUUCUCUUGUGUUAAUUAUUUUCCUCCCGUUCGCUCAUUCCUUUGUUUGGUUCUAAUAAUUCAUUUUGUUAAUUUUCAGUUAGCUCGCUUUUCUCUCUUGUAAUCAUAGAAUUGCCAUAAAACCUGUGAAGAAUUUCAUUUUAGCCCAUAAAUUGCUGGAAAUCAGUCCUUAAAAACCGAAUUGGAACUUGGAUCUUGGACUUUGCCUUAUUCGUUUGACUUUUGGACUUGGUGGACAUAACGUACAUGGACUUGGACUUUUAAAAUAACCAUUAAGGCCCAAUAAUUGAAAUUUAAUUAGCUGGUAAUUUUUAAAAUUAAAAAACAAAACCCGUAAUUUUUUCUUUCUUUAAAUUUUUGCAAUUUACUUUUUGCAUUUAUUUUUAAUGGUCGGUUCAGCCGCCUGAAUUGUUAUUUAAAUUUUGUUAAUUUAUUAUUAUUAUUUAUAUGGUUAGUUCUACCGCCUAUUAUUUUAAUUUUAGUUUAAUUAUUCUUAUGCAUUAAUUUGUGUAAUUUUUAUUUUAUGUUUUAUUAUAUGGUUGUUUUUAAAAUACCCCCUAAAUUGUUUCCCUUAAUUUCUUUGUUUAUAUGGUUGGUUCAACCGCCUACUAUUUUCAUUUAAUUAAUUUUCAGUUUAUUUUUUUCACAUUUAUUUAAUUGCUUAUUUAAUUUUUAUUUUGUUGUGCAAUUUUCAUGUUUGCUUGUGCAUCAUCUUCUUAAUAUAACACACAUCAUUUGCAUUGCAUGCGAUGCUGGUCUUGUACAGAUAGUGGUAGAUUAAUUAGGAAAUCAUCUUCAUCACCCUUAGACAUGGCAGACAUCGAAGCUGAUAACUUUUCAAAGCAUGAAGAUAACCAAACCUUGCAAAAUCUUCAUGAACAGCCUAGGACACUUAGAGGUUUCAUGCAUCUUACUAGAACAUAGUCACCAUCAUGUAUAUCUUUUCCUCCUCAUGCAUCACAUUUUAAUUUUAAACCUAGUAUCAUCCAACUUCUACCUAUUUUUCAUAGUUUUAAGUCUGAAAAUCCAUAUCUGCAUUUGAGAGAAUUUGAGAAAGUUUGUAACAUGUGUACUGAUUAAAAUUGUAGCAUGAAUAUAACCAGGUGAUUGACACUAAAAAGUGUACAUUUAAUAAGGAUAAAAUUAUUAGUUUUUCACUUAUUAUGUUGAUUAAUGCGCUCAUUAUUUCUAAAUUAUUUUAAUACUCCCCAAAUAUAUUUUAUGUUAAAUUAAUUCGCAAUAUGUUAAUUUAUAUCUUGUAAAUAUUUUCAGGAAUAAAGAUAGAAUUGGAGUUGAAAGCAGGAACAAAGAAGGAUAGUUGGAGCAAUUUAGAAUUCAUCAAUCGAAGAGAUGUUAUUAAAAAUAAAUAAAAAAUAAAAAAAGAUUGGCAAGCAUGUUGGUGAUGGUCAGGAGGC